GACAGAGGGUGCAAACGUUGUUCGGAAUUACUGGGCGUAAAGCGAGUGUAGGCGGUCUGCUAAGUCGGGUGUGAAAGCCCUGGGCUCAACCCAGGAAGUGCACUCGAAACUGGCAGGCUAGAGUACUGGAGAGGUUGGUGGAAUUCUCGGUGUAGAGGUGAAAUUCGUAGAUAUCGAGAGGAACACCGGUGGCGAAGGCGGCCAACUGGACAGAUACUGACGCUGAGGCACGAAAGCGUGGGGAGCAAACAGG
RNAcentral lists this ribosomal RNA (253 nucleotides) under uncultured bacterium. Its description in RNAcentral is "partial 16S ribosomal RNA". It matches the Rfam family "Bacterial small subunit ribosomal RNA", at positions 524 to 776 of the family's 1533-position model. The record is from RNAcentral.